This is a long non-coding RNA of Chlorocebus sabaeus (green monkey), 684 nucleotides long. RefSeq lists it as uncharacterized. The record is from RefSeq and is a predicted model, not a curated record. Lineage: Eukaryota; Metazoa; Chordata; Mammalia; Primates; Cercopithecidae.
UCACCAUGUUGGCCAGGCUGGUCUUGAACUCCUGAUGAACUGUAUUUUUAUUUUUGCUAACACCUGCGUCUUCUACCCCAGCCUUGCUUGGGUGAUGGUCCCACCAGGUCUCCAAGCUGGACUCCUCACUGCUUCUCAUUCCCAGAAUUUACCUGCUGGCGAAGCCUCUGGCUGGAAUCUCCCAGUUCAUCCUCCCUCUCCACACCUGUGAUCUCUGCAGAGGUACUAUCAUUGCCCCACUUUACAGAUGAAGAAACAGAGGCUUCGGCCGCUUGCCCGAGAUCCUGCGGCUGUUCUGGAGGUCAGACAUCUAAAAUCAAGGUGUCAACAGGACUGCGUUCCUUUCUGGAGGAAACAGCUUUCAUGCCUGCGGUUCCCUCAUCGGCGCAUAAGCUCUUCCACCAUGUUUCUACUGACCUUUCCUGACCCCCACGGCUGGGUCAGGGCCCUGUGCAGUCCCCGACACGGCGCUGAUGGCCCAGUGAUGGCAUUGCCAGGUGACAUGUCCCUCUGCCUGACCCCCACCCUGGGCACUGGGAGCCCCUCAAGGGCUGGGACCAGGUGGGUCUUGGUGACUGCUCCGUCCCAACGCCUGGCUUUGGGCCCUGCAUGCAGCUGUUACUAAAUGAGUAUUUAUUGAAUGUGCAAAGACACGGACCCUCUGCCCCCCACCCACACAGCGAA